This 1521-nucleotide long non-coding RNA is filed under the name Hordeum vulgare. Its description in RNAcentral is "long non-coding RNA (HVUL_LNC013618)". The record is from RNAcentral. Lineage: Eukaryota; Viridiplantae; Streptophyta; Magnoliopsida; Poales; Poaceae.
AGACAAUUUAGAUAACAAUAGAAAGCAUGAUAUUUCUUAUAGUUAAUUCAGUCUAGAUCGACCGAAUUGCAAUACUAUGUUGAUUCAAUUUACAAUGCCAAACCAAAAGUAGACUUUUCAAGCGGGUGUACAGAAGCACAUCAAGGGCUGAUUGAAAACUACAAGUUGUGAAGGUGAUCAUGUAGCAUAAUUAGGCAGGGUAGAGGAGUGAUGUGCUUGCGUGAACCGGUGAAGGUUCAAAUCUUGUAUCUACAAUUUCACAUCAGUCACAGACUUGUAUGCUGACAUAGACUGCCCAUGCAACCUGCUGGCUCACCGGCUUGGCCUGGAUCGUAGUAUUGCAACCUGCUGACACCAAUUCCCAACACCACCCAUUCUAAUUCCGGAUACUCACAAAAGUGAUGCUAGCUAGUACCAAGAUUACUGUGAUCACUUUAACUGAACUUUGUUCCUAUUGUGCUCAAACGUAGGCCGUCAUAUUGCUAUGGAACUUGAGCGGAUCAUGCCAGUGCUAGAGAAGUGACAAGCAAAUAGUAUCCGACAUGUAUAUAGGCUAGCCAACUUAGUGCUCAGCUCAUGUAUCUUCUUACUAGAGGACACAAAUGUAUUGCUCAGUGCUCACUCGCCAAUAAUUGAUUCAUUGCACACAUCACCGUCUCUUUACUUUGGAUGGCUGAGACGUAUAAAUCAAAGUCAAAAGGACAUACUCCAACCUCUCCAACACAAUGCAGCAGCACCAGUAAUCUUUGUAAGACCCUAUUUAUUACGAAUAUUAAUGUAUAACAAUGUAAUGCAGCCACACAUGCCUCUAGCAGCCACUUUAUGGUUUCGACUCUUCUGUCUCUAAAUUACUUCGUCUUUUCUGUGUGGUAUCCAAACAACAGUUUUGGAGUAUUCCUGUGUUUUGGAUUCAUGUAGGAAUUCAGGACAUGCAUCUCAAUCCAUCCGGUUUUUUAGUUCACGCAUUGGGGGUGAGACCUAAAUCUAGAAUUCUAGAUUGUAAUUGCAUGGGGUUCCUACUCUUGACCUGUAAGUUACACUGCUUCCCACAUAUACAAUUUUUUUUUUUUUUUGCGAUGAGCUUCCCACAUAUACAAUUUGAUGUUACAUAAUACAGCUUCCCACCUAAUAUAAGUUGAGCAAGCAAACAACGUUCAACUUGUAAGCACCGACAAUAGUUGCUCUUCCACGGUUACCAUCUCUUUUUCUUUCAUUCUUUCUUGUAUGACAUAGUAGUCCAUGAGGUCUCAUCAUCUUUGCCACGUGGCGAAGCAUUGCCGAGAGUUAAGGCUGCUCCCAAUGCUCCACUUUGGAUAGGUGCUAAGCAUGCCAACAAGACAAAAAAUCCUAUGUGAUAAUCUAAUUAAGAAGAGAGAGAGGAGUUUGGUGUCCUCAGAAGAAAACGGUGCUAGUCACGGAAACCUAUGCAAAACAUUAAAAAUGAGCAGAACUAGCCUAUGCAUGCAAGACUUUAGUUGCUAAAUAAUUAAAUGAGACAACCUUAACAACAACAAACUAAAC